RNAcentral lists this unclassified non-coding RNA (87 nucleotides) under Pseudomonas azotoformans. The record is from RNAcentral. Lineage: Bacteria; Pseudomonadati; Pseudomonadota; Gammaproteobacteria; Pseudomonadales; Pseudomonadaceae.
GUGGGAGGGGGCUUGCCCCCGAUAGCGGCAGUCCAGUCAGAGAUUUGUUGACUGAUCCACCGCAAUCGGGGGCAAGCCCCCUCCCAC